ACCUGCUGGCCCCUACCGGCCCCUACAUCAACCUACUGGCCCCUACCGGUCUCUACUUCAACCUGCUGGCCCCUACCGGUCUCUACAUCAACCUGCUGGCCCCUACCGGCCCCUACAUCAACCUGCUGGCCCCUACCGGCCCCUACAUCAACCUACUGGCCCCGUCCGGCCUCUACACCUACUGGCCCCUACCGGUCUCUACAUCAACCUACUGGCUCCUACAUACCUGCUGGCCCCUACCGGCCCCUACAUCAACCUACUGGCCCCUGUCUGCCCCUACAUCAACCUACUGGCCCCCUACCGGCCCCUACACCUACUGGCCCCUACCGGUCUCUACACAGCUACCACCUACCUACCCUACACAGCUACCACCUACCUACCUACCCUACACAGCUACCACCUAAUUACCCUACACAGCUACCACCUACCUACCCUACACAGCUACCACCUCCACCUACCUACUCUACACAGCUACCACCUACCUACUCUACACAGCUACAACCUACCACCUACCUAUCUUACAUAGCUACCACCUGGGCCCUACCGGCCUCAAAAUGCCUCUAUACCUACCUGACCCAAGCCCUCCACAUAUCUUAACCACUCUACCAGGCCCUACUUCUCCACUUCACACUACUUCUCCACUUCACACUGCAACCUUUCAACUUUCACCAGCGCCACUUCAGUCCCACACCUAGUGACCCCCUCCAGCCCAGAAUAGGCCCCCUGUGACGCAUGCUUGCCUUCCGCGUGUCCUCCUCUUCCUCCCUCCUGUCAUGUCCUCCUCUUCCUCUCUCCUGGUGUGUCCUCCUCUUCCUCUCUCCUGGAGUGUCCUCCUCUUCCUCAAUCCUGUCAUGUCCUCCUCUUCCUCUCUCCUGGCGUGUCCUCCUCUUCCUCUCUCCUGGCGUGUCCUCCUCUUCCUCUCUCCUGGCGUGUCCUCCUCUUCCUCUCUCCUGGCGUGUCCUCCUCUUCCUCUCUCCUGGCGUGUCCUCCCCAACCUACCACUAGAGAGAAGAAAAUAAGCUUAAAGAAAAUAAACUGAGCAGUGACACCGUGUUGACACCGGGUUGACACCGUGUUGACACCGGGUUGACACCAUGUUGACACCGGGUUGACACCGUGUUGACAUACGGCCACAAUUCGUCUUAAUUAUGAACAGUUUUAUUUUUUUUUGUUCUGAUGUAGUGGAGUGGAGAAGAGUGAAUAAUUUACGGCGGUGCAGCUGCUUGCUGUGGUUACUGUGAAUUGGCUGCGGCUUUCUGAAGCCAUCAUAGUGUUUUAUGGCCCCGUCUAUCUGUCUGUCUGUGCCGCCCUCCCUCCUGGCCAGGAGUCUGACACUAACGACUAACGCCGAAGCCUGGAGUUGCCUGGACUGACCGGGUCACAGAGCUCAGCUACACUACAAGUCGCACCAAACCCCCCGACUGAGGGCGACAACAAACUCUCCAUCGAAAUCUCUCGUUCUUUCUGAUUCUCUCUCUUUUUCUCUCUCUCUCUCUCUCUCUCUCUCUCUCUCUCUCUCUCUCCCCUCUCUCUCUCUCUCUCUUUCUCUUUCUCUCUCUCUCUCCGUGGUAUAUAGAGACAGAGGGGCCCUUGUUGUUCUAACUUGUCUGGAUUGGCCUCAUUCUGGGAGUCCUGUCUGGCUUGGCCUCAGCCUGGGAGUCCUGUCUGGCUUGGCCUCAGCCUGAGAGUCCUGUGCUUCUUAUUAUUUAUGAACUGAGACUUUGUGAGUCUAUACCACACCAAGAUGAACAAGGAGGAAGACCAUCCACACUAUACCACACCAAGAUGAACGAGGAGGAAGACCAUCCACACUAUACCACACCAAGACGAACGGGGAGGAAGACCAUCCACACAAUACCACACCAAGAUGAACGAGGAGGAAGACCAUCCACACUAUACCACACCAAGAUGAACGAGGAGGAAGACCAUCCACACUAUACCACACCAAGACGAACGAGGAGGAAGACCAUCCACACUAUACCACACCAAGACGAAGGAGGAGGAAGACCAUCCACACUAUACCACACCAAGACGAACGAGGAGGAAGACCAUCCACACUAUACCACACCAAGACGAACGAGGAGGAAGACCAUCCACACUAUACCACACCAAGACGAACGAGGAGGAGGACCAUCCACACUAUACCACACCAAGACGAACGAGGAGGAAGACCAUCCACACUAUACCACACCAAGACGAACGAGGAGGAAGACCAUCCACACUAUACCACACCAAGACGAAGGAGGAGGAAGACCAUCCACACUAUACCACACCAAGACGAACGAGGAGGAAGACCAUCCACACUAUACCACACCAAGACGAACGAGGAGGAAGACCAUCCACACUAUACCACACCAAGACGAACGAGGAGGAAGACAGACGAUGAUGUUUAUGGAAGAGCUAAAAUAAACAACAAAAAAAAGGGAUUUUCCAAUCAUUUAAAAAGAGUUAAGAAACUUAAUGUACAAUGAUUCCCGAGACAAUCGUGUCCAGAGGAAGUCUUUUUAACUUUUUUGACAAUCCCUUCCUAUAUAAUAAUCGUUUAUUACAGUCGGUACAAAGGUGAUGAUGUUUUCAUUGAAGUCAAAAGGCUGAUCGAGCAACGAUGAUGGUGACGAUGUGUUGAGCUUGUUUUUGAACCAAUAAAACUAACAAACAAACAUAUAGAUGAAAAUGAGAUUUUGUGAUAUAUAACUUGUUUUGUUCAAGACCAAAAGCAUGGAUGUCAAGUGUCAAUGAUCAUUGUGUUCAGUCAGUGAUGUUUCUUCCUCGUACUCUCUCUCUCUCUCUCUCUCUUUCUCUAUUUACACUCAGUAUAGUAUGAAAUAGUGUUAUUUCAGUCACAAUUCAACACAGCGGUUUCCCUCUGAAUCAAGGCCUGGGAUUUAAUCUGCAGCCGUGCGAUUGUCGAAUUCGAUCUCACGAAUGAGGUAGCAUUGGCUUUAAAAGCCGCAUUGUCUACAAGCGCGAUCAAAUUGAAUCCCAGUCCAACACUGUGUAGAUCCAUGUUUCAUUGGGGUAUUUUUAUAUUUUAUUUUAUUUUAAUGUUCACUUACUUGGAAAAGUUGUUCAGAACUUGUUGUGUGGGCAUUUCACUAGCUUGCAGCACAAACCAACCGUGUGUAUUUUAAAGCUAAUGUAAUUGACAUGAUAAUACCAUUGCAUCUUGGGAUAGAGAUGUCUGAUCUGGACUGAGUUGGUAGGUUUUUUAUUUUUAAAUGUUACCCCUCGGUCAGUUCCCAGACUCCGAGCCGUAUAGAGUACCAUUUUAAUGAAUUUAGGAAAAGUUCAGCUUUCAGGAAUGAAAAAGAAAAAAACAAGCUUUUAAAUAGUUUUUAUUAUCUUUUCUACGAGCGCUAUCACAACAACUAUUGUACAGCGUACAUUUUUGUAUGAAGUAGUGUUUUUAUUUAGAAUUUUGAAAAAAUGAUUGUGUUCUUCUUGUGUCCCACCUUUUGAAUUUCUGUAGUUGAAAAUGAAAUUCAUAUGAUGCCCUUUUUUCUGAUAGUGCUUGUUAUGAUAGGACUGUGGACUGAAGUGGUGGGAUGGAUAGGGGAUAACUGUACUGAGGUCUUGUUAUGAUAGGACUGUGGACUGAAGUGGUGGGAUGGAUAGGGGAUAACUGUACUGAGGUCUUGUUAUGAUAGGACUGUGGACUGAAGUGGUGGGAUAGAUAGGGGAUAACUGUACUGAGGUCUUGUUAUGAUUGGACUGUGGACUGAAGUGGUGGGAUAGAUAGGGGAUAACUGUACUGAGGUCUUGUUAUGAUAGGACUGUGGACUGAAGUGGUGGGAUGGAUAGGGAUAACUGUACUGAGGUCUUGUUAUGAUAGGACUGUGGACUGAAGUGGUGGGAUGGAUAGGGGAUAACUGUACUGAGGUCUUGUUAUGAUAGGACUGUGGACUGAAGUGGUGGGAUAGAUAGGGGAUAACUGUACUGAGGUCUUGUUAUGAUAGGACUGAAGUGGUGGGAUGGAUAGGGAUAACUGUACUGGGCUCUUGUUAUGAUAGGACUGAAGUGGUGGGAUGGAUAGGUGAUAACUGUACUGGGCUCUUGUUAUGAUAGGACUGUGGACUGAAGUGGUGGGAUAGAUAGGGAUAACUGUACUGAGGUCUUGUUAUGAU
Long non-coding RNA from Oncorhynchus tshawytscha (Chinook salmon), 4124 nucleotides. The record is from Ensembl. Lineage: Eukaryota; Metazoa; Chordata; Actinopteri; Salmoniformes; Salmonidae.